RNAcentral lists this ribosomal RNA (398 nucleotides) under uncultured bacterium. Its description in RNAcentral is "partial 16S ribosomal RNA". It matches the Rfam family "Bacterial small subunit ribosomal RNA", at positions 523 to 918 of the family's 1533-position model. The record is from RNAcentral.
AUACGUAGGGUGCGAGCGUUGUCCGGAAUUACUGGGCGUAAAGAGCUCGUAGGUGGUUUGUCGCGUCGUCUGUGAAAUUCCGGGGCUUAACUCCGGGCGUGCAGGCGAUACGGGCAUAACUUAAGUACUGUAGGGGAGACUGGAAUUCCUGGUGUAGCGGUGAAAUGCGCAGAUAUCAGGAGGAACACCGGUGGCGAAGGCGGGUCUUGGGGCAGUAACGGACGCUGAGGAGCGAAAGCAUGGGUAGCGAACAGGAUUAGAUACCCUGGUAGUCCAUGCUGUAAACGGUGGGCGCUAGGUGUAGGGGUCUUCCACGACUUCUGUGCCGUAGCUAACGCAUUAAGCGCCCCGCCUGGGGAGUACGGCCGCAAGGCUAAAACUCAAAUGAAUUGACGGGG